GCCAGCGUAGCUCAGUUGGCAGAGCAGCGGUUUUGUAAACCGCCGGUCGUGGGUUCGAAUCCCUCCGCUGGCUC
RNAcentral lists this transfer RNA (74 nucleotides) under Rosistilla ulvae. RNAcentral describes it as "Planctomycetes bacterium EC9 tRNA-Thr". It matches the Rfam family "tRNA". Rfam says of the family: Transfer RNA (tRNA) molecules are approximately 80 nucleotides in length. Their secondary structure includes four short double-helical elements and three loops (D, anti-codon, and T loops). The record is from RNAcentral. Lineage: Bacteria; Pseudomonadati; Planctomycetota; Planctomycetia; Pirellulales; Pirellulaceae. RNAcentral also lists the same sequence under 2 other names.